RNAcentral lists this ribosomal RNA (230 nucleotides) under uncultured bacterium. RNAcentral's name for it is "partial 16S ribosomal RNA". It matches the Rfam family "Bacterial small subunit ribosomal RNA", at positions 563 to 791 of the family's 1533-position model. The record is from RNAcentral.
AAGGGUGGCGUAGGCGGCCUGUUAAGUCAGGGGUGAAAGACGGUAGCUCAACUAUCGCAGUGCCCUUGAUACUGAUGGGCUUGAAUUGACUAGAGGUAGGCGGAAUGUGACAAGUAGCGGUGAAAUGCAUAGAUAUGUCACAGAACACCGAUUGCGAAGGCAGCUUACUAUGGUCUUAUUGACGCUGAGGCACGAAAGCGUGGGGAUCAAACAGGAUUAGAUACCCGUGU